GAUGAACGCUGGCGGCGUGCCUGAUACAUGCAAGUCGAGCGAACAGACGAGGAGCUUGCUCCUCUGACGUUAGCGGCGGACGGGUGAGUAACACGUGGAUAACCUACCUAUAAGACUGGGAUAACUUCGGGAAACCGGAGCUAAUACCGGAUAACAUGUUGAACCGCAUGGUUCAACAGUGAAAGACGGUCUUGCUGUCACUUAUAGAUGGAUCCGCGCCGCAUUAGCUAGUUGGUAAGGUAACGGCUUACCAAGGCAACGAUGCGUAGCCGACCUGAGAGGGUGAUCGGCCACACUGGAACUGAGACACGGUCCAGACUCCUACGGGAGGCAGCAGUAGGGAAUCUUCCGCAAUGGGCGAAAGCCUGACGGAGCAACGCCGCGUGAGUGAAGAAGGUCUUCGGAUCGUAAAACUCUGUUAUUAGGGAAGAACAAAUGUGUAAGUAACUAUGCACGUCUUGACGGUACCUAAUCAGAAAGCCACGGCUAACUACGUG
This 497-nucleotide ribosomal RNA is filed under the name uncultured bacterium. RNAcentral describes it as "partial 16S ribosomal RNA". It matches the Rfam family "Bacterial small subunit ribosomal RNA", at positions 28 to 507 of the family's 1533-position model. The record is from RNAcentral.